UAAGUUCUUCGGGGCAGGGUGCAAGUCCCUACCGGCGGUUAUAGUCCGCGACCCGUUUUAAACGGUUGAUUUGGUGAAAUUCCAAAACCGACAGUAUAGUCUGGAUGAGAGAAGAAAUUA
The sequence is a regulatory RNA element, 120 nucleotides long. It matches the Rfam family "FMN riboswitch aptamer (RFN element)". Rfam says of the family: The RFN element is a highly conserved domain that is found frequently in the 5'-untranslated regions of prokaryotic mRNAs that encode for flavin mononucleotide (FMN) biosynthesis and transport proteins. This element is a metabolite-dependent riboswitch that directly binds FMN in the absence of proteins. The record is from Rfam.